Molecule: unclassified non-coding RNA, 156 nt
Filed under: uncultured Ascomycota
Lineage: Eukaryota; Fungi; Ascomycota
Description: sequence contains ITS2
Source: RNAcentral
CACCACUCAAGCCUGGCUUGGUAUUGGGCGCCGGGGACUCCCCGUGCCCGAAUUUCCGCGGCUGGCGUUAUCCAUCCUUUCGAACUACAGCAACUGUCCAUACACGGUGAUCUUUGCUGGGGGGUGGAUCGUCGCGCCGUUAAAACUUUUACACAA